GGGAUCUUUUAUAGACAAGUUCCAAAUCCUGUCCAGUCAACUGAAUUGCCCACAGGUCGAUUACCGAAGCUGAAGAGACGUCAGACAGAUGAUCAGUGGAAAAAGGGUGCACCUGAGCUCAAUGCUGCCAACUGUGUCAUGGCAAAGGCUGUGAAAACUCAUGUUAUACUAUUUAUUUAUUUAAAAUUUAUUUGCAAGAAUUUCAAGCAAACUUUUUAUGACUUUGUAAUUACGGAGUAUUGUGAAUUUAACUCAUUUUGAAAUGAGGCUGUAACAUGAUGAAAUAUAGGAACAAGUAAAGCAUUGUGACUAUCAGAUGCACUGUACAAAUAAUCCCUGAGAUCCAAAAACUCUGCUCUGAAGGCUGAGGGUGAAUAGAGGGGCUACACAAAAACCCAAUAUAUGUCCCCUUAACCCCUAGUGUAUCAUGUUUCAAACACACAGAUUUUCUGUGAGUUUUUGAGACUUCUACAUCAUCAGUGUGAUUUUUGUCAUGUAUGGAAAUUAAAAUUAACUUAAAAAAAAAAAAAAGUCAGAUGGUCCAGUCUGCAUUUUUACAAAAAGUGUAAUUUUCCUCCAAUUAUUUUAUAUUUUAGGCUUUAAGGAGAUAUAUGGAUUAUUUAGUUAUUCCAGUACUGUCAACUAAAAAUAAAAAAAUCAGUUAAACUGUAUCUUUUAAAAGUUUAAUAUCAGAACAUUCCACUUGUCGUUCAAUAAGGACCUGGGCUGUGAACCAUACCUAUAUUUCUGUGAAUAAGAGGGAAAAUUGCUAGAUGACGACAGUACAAAGCUUCACGGGACUUCGCACACCAGUUGGUGGCGUAACAGUGGCAUUUUCCCCCUAAAGGGACUCACAUCUACUUUCUGCAUAAUUUUGGUAGACACACCUUUCUACAGUGAGAAAAGUAACCUUUCGUUUCCCAGUGUUUGUGCGCUCUGCUUUCAGACCUUAUCCACUUGUGGAUAAGUGCAUUCACGUUUUUUCUUAGCCAACUGUAUCCCUAAGAUCUCAUCAAAACAAGUAACUUGACACAUGCAUAACCUUAUUUUUGGGCAAAGUCACCAAACAUUUUAAUAGCAUUUUAACUUAAAUUUGAUCUGUAAUUCUUCAGACUGUUUUAUGUCUCUGUGACCAUCAACAUGAAAGUUAUAUUUCAUUCCCCAUUCUUUCAGGUAGAGGAUUCAAAAAGAGUGAUUUUGUUUUAUUUUGCUUACAUAAUCUGUUGAUGAAGCUGUUCUUUCAUUUUAACAGAACUGAAAAUGCUGUUUAUUUGAGUAAGUGAGAUCUAUGACAUGUUAUUUUAUGCAGAUUACAUUGUGUUCUCACAAAAAACAGUGUAAGAAGUCCCACCUCUUAAUUAUUUUUUUCUUUUGCACACAUUUAUACUUGUUUCAAAAUCCAUAGCAUUUUUAUACCCCCCCCCCCCAAAAAAAAAAACAACAACAACAAAAAAACCCAAAACAAAACAACAGAAACACGCGUAACUGCACAGAUACACUAGCUUUCCUGCUGAAUGAGGUCUUUGGCUUUCUGCAGGUUGUGAUCGAUGGCUCCAUCUAAGAA
Molecule: long non-coding RNA, 1564 nt
Organism: Astatotilapia calliptera (eastern happy)
Lineage: Eukaryota; Metazoa; Chordata; Actinopteri; Cichliformes; Cichlidae
Source: Ensembl